UUUUUAAUUGGAAUCUUGUAUGAAUGAUUGGACAAGAGAAGUACUGUCUUUGUAUUGAAACUUGAAUUUAACUUUUAAGUGAAAAGGCUUAAAUAUACUAAAGGGACGAUAAGACCCUAUAAAACUUUACAUUUAUGUUAAAUUUUAUGGAAUUUGAAAUUAUAAUUAUUAAGUUUAAUUUUUUGUUAUGUUGGGGAGACAAAAGCUAUAAUUAUGUAUAACUGCUUUUAAAAGAAACAAAAAUAAAUGGGGAGAGUUAAAGAUCCUUUAUUGAGAUUGUAAGAUUAAGUUACUUUAGGGAUAACAGCGUUAUUUUUUUUGAGAGUUCAUAUUGAAAAAAAARAUUGCGACCUCGAUGUUGAAUUAAAAUAUCUUUAUAAUGCAGGUGUUAUAAAAGAAGGUCUGUUCGACCUUUAAUUUU
This 421-nucleotide ribosomal RNA is filed under the name Potamonautes sidneyi. RNAcentral's name for it is "partial large subunit ribosomal RNA". The record is from RNAcentral. Lineage: Eukaryota; Metazoa; Arthropoda; Malacostraca; Decapoda; Potamonautidae.